UUCAUAAAAACUGGAUAUGAUCUUAUCACCUAGAAUGGAUGUACAUCGUAGAUAAAAACAUAUUAAGAGUAGCACAACUUGCUUAUUGACUUAUUAUUAGUAAGCAAUUUCUAGCUUUGGGAGAAAGUAAUGAACUAAAACAUGCCAAGCAGUUGCAAUACACAUAUAUCUUGUUUACUUCUUGGAUACAAAAGAAAGGUUGAUUUAUUCAAUCUCCUUAGACGACAACACCAAGAUCUCCUUGGCAAAUAUCUCCAUGGCUGAUUUUGGUAAGAACAUGGAUGCCACAACACAAUCCUCACCACUGUCAUUGAUGCAUCUCAUCUGAUAACUCACUUGCUUACAUUUGACAUCUCCGACCAUUGGCACACCACCAGCAACCCGUUGAGCCCAACCAAAGUCCAAGGCAUCUUCUCCUAUACGUGUUAUAUCAGACACCACAAACAUCCAUCCUGCCACAUAUGGUGGUCCUCCAUGAAGUGCGAUGAAAUCCACCAUUGAUUUUGUGAAUUCUUCGGUCAUAUCAAGCUUGGCCUUCUGGACAAGCUUCACCGCAUGGCCUAGCGACUGCUUGCAUAGCUCACUAGCGUCCGUCUACACAACAAGGUAGACGAAUCCGUUGCCGUAGAAUCCUUGCGGUAAAGGUGGAUCACGCUUCCACUUCCCACGAGCGUUCAUGGUCAUCAACAAGCAUGCCUUCUUAUUCUGGUCCGGCACAUACCCGAGAGCUACUGUGUGACACUUCCACAUUGCAGCUGUGAUGACCUCAAAUGCUGUGCUUGAGUACUGCAGUUGGGCAUGGUGUUGCAGAGCUGCAAUCUCUCUUGGGCCGAAGAAGAAGUAGUCGCCAACCAUAUGAUCUGUCGACGACGACACAUGUUGUGCUGCCGAAUUGGGCUCUACUGGGUGAUCUGGGGAUAGCUUGCUUGGUGUCAAGUGCUGCAGGAGUGAAACAUUGGGUGGGUUACGCGCUGCCAUAAGCUCUCUUCCCCACACAGGAAGAACAGUUGGGUGAUCAUCACCACGUGCUAUGUCGACUAUAGCUUUCAGAAAUUGGGUGUGGCCAAAGGCAUCCACAAUGUUGUGGCAUGAGUAAGUGCCGAUAACAAAUCCGCCACAUUUGAGCCUAGUCACCUGCAUGAAAACCAGGGGCUUGCCAAUGAUGACACUAGUGUCACCAGGGUCACACAAGAACUCGUCGACGCAUGGAUAUGGUGGCAUGAUGGGAUUCCCAAACUCAUCCAACCACACAUCAGCGUCGGCCUCAACAAAAACCACCCCUUCUCCAGUGCACUCCACAACCAACUCCCCUCCGGGGAGCUCACGGAUUCGACCAGCCACCGGGUAGAAGUAUGUGAGCGCCUUUGCAACAGCAUCCUUGACAACCUUGGCUUGGUUCUCCGGCUGAUCAUGGCCGUCGUCGACAAUGGGGUGAUGGCGGAAGAACUCCACUCCGGUGGCAUAGAAGCGUAGAGCAGGUUGGGUGUCAACAUCAGAGAGGGCCUUCAUCUCUCGAGGUGUUGCCAAUGCCGGUGGCACUAGCUCAGGAUCGCUCCGGUUUGCCUUGAAGGUGACCAUGGCUGUACUACCUUGCACUUGAAUGGAAU
This 1607-nucleotide small RNA is filed under the name Oryza sativa Japonica Group (Japanese rice). Its description in RNAcentral is "sRNA Os10g0105750". The record is from RNAcentral. Lineage: Eukaryota; Viridiplantae; Streptophyta; Magnoliopsida; Poales; Poaceae.